UACGUAGGGCGCAAGCGUUGUCCGGAAUUAUUGGGCGUAAAGAGCUCGUAGGCGGUUUGUUGCGUCGGCUGUGAAAUCCCGAGGCUCAACCUCGGGUCUGCAGUCGAUACGAGCAGACUAGAGUGUUGCAGGGGAGACUGGAAUUCCUGGUGUAGCGGUGAAAUGCGCAGAUAUCAGGAGGAACACCGGUGGCGAAGGCGGGUCUCUGGGCAACAACUGACGCUGAGGAGCGAAAGCGUGGGGAGCGAACAGG
RNAcentral lists this ribosomal RNA (253 nucleotides) under uncultured bacterium. Its description in RNAcentral is "partial 16S ribosomal RNA". It matches the Rfam family "Bacterial small subunit ribosomal RNA", at positions 524 to 776 of the family's 1533-position model. The record is from RNAcentral.